Molecule: small nuclear RNA, 104 nt
Filed under: Phascolarctos cinereus (koala)
Lineage: Eukaryota; Metazoa; Chordata; Mammalia; Diprotodontia; Phascolarctidae
Source: RNAcentral
GUGCUUGCUUUGGCAGUACAUAUACUAAAAUUGGAACAAUACAGAGAUUAGCAUGGUCCCUGUGCAAGUAUAACAUGAAAAUUCAUGAAGCAUUUCAUAUUAAA